AGCAGCCGCGGUAAUUCCAGCUCCAAUAGCGUAUAUUAAAGUUGUUGCAGUUAAAAAGCUCGUAGUUGAAUUUCGGGAUCAAUAUGUUGGUCGUGCCUUGGUACGUACUGGCAUUAUUGGUUUCUACCUUCUGAAGAACCUCGAUGUCAUUAAUUUGGUGUCUUGGGGAAUCAGGACUGUUACUUUGAAAAAUUAGAGUGCUUAAAGCAGGCUCGCGCUUGAAUACAUUAGCAUGGAAUAAUGAAAUAGGACGUUUGAUUCUAUUUUGUUGGUUUCUAGGAUCGACGUAAUGAUUAAUAGGGAUAGUUGGGGGCAUUAGUAUUCAAUUGUCAGAGGUGAAAUUCUUGGAUUUAUUGAAGACCAACUACUGCGAAAGCAUUUGCCAAGGAUGUUUUCAUUAAUCAAGAACGAAAGUUAGGGGAUCGAAGACGAUCAGAUACCGUCGUAGUCUUAACCAUAAACUAUGCCGACUAGGGAUCGGAUGAUGUUAAUUUUUAAUGU
Molecule: ribosomal RNA, 501 nt
Filed under: uncultured Glomus
Lineage: Eukaryota; Fungi; Glomeromycota; Glomeromycetes; Glomerales; Glomeraceae
Description: SSU rRNA
Rfam family: Eukaryotic small subunit ribosomal RNA
Source: RNAcentral